This is a long non-coding RNA of Amaranthus tricolor (Joseph's coat), 1293 nucleotides long. RefSeq lists it as uncharacterized. NCBI's taxonomy places the organism in Eukaryota, Viridiplantae, Streptophyta, Magnoliopsida, Caryophyllales, Amaranthaceae. The record is from RefSeq and is a predicted model, not a curated record. The transcript has 3 exons.
AAAACCCUCGUUGCUCAAAACCUAGCCGUGACGCCUUCUCCUCCUCCUUUCUCUUCUUCUCCCUUUCUCCCUCACUACCCGCGUCCCUUUCCCUUCCCACGCCACAGCAGCUGCCGGCACCUUCACCACCACCAGCUUCCGCCCACGUGACCACCACCAGCUGCCGCCUACGUGACUACCGGCAAGUAGCCGCCAACAGCAACCAGUAACAGGGGCUGCGAUUUUUCCCCCAAACAGCAGCUGUCCAGCAGCCACAACCGCCAGCUUGCUCCUCCCCUUCUGCCGUGAACGCUGCCGCCACCAACAGCCACGGUCUAGCCGCGUGGUAUCCUCCACAACCACCUAGUCUUCACUCCUUUUCUAAUUGCCCCAUUGUGUCCACUUCAUAAGAGGAAAGUAGAACCUUAGUCGGGUGAUUUUUGUAACUUGUGGUCGCGCAAUGGCGCUUGCAGCAGGAGGAUCAUAGUUUGACAUGACAGGUAUAGGAGCUUCUUUUGCUUUGUAUUGGGGGAAAGAGCAAAGUACGGUCGUAACAAUUGUGUACAAAUUGCCUAAUGCUUGUAGCUUCUAUAUUACUUGUAAAGUUUUCUUUUGGGAUUGUAUAAUUUCUUUCGUAUGGAGCCAUGUGACUCCUUGUAUGAUCCAUGGUUCCGCUGCGUAGGUUUUGAAUGUAUUGUAGCGAGAAUACUCCUUUAGUAUCCAUCAAACCGACGCGUUAACACUGGAACCACGAUCCUCGUUAAAGUUGAUGAUUUGAGAAGCCGACGAUGAAUCAUUACGUCGUGACAUAUUUUUUGAAAGACAUUAAAAGCCUUAGAUUAGUUUAGUUAUGUUAAUCAUUUAUAUAUCCUUGUCACACCCUCAGUUUUAAUCGAGAUGCUGCCGAAAUUUCCACUUACUCACCUUUUCAAUUAAUCUUUAGUGUUUAUUUUAGUUACCUUCCCUUUUCUGUUUAUGUAACACCCAAAUUUCCUCCCUUCCUUCACGAUUUCUGGUUUCGUUUAAGGAGUUGGAAAUUCAGGGAUGUUACAGUAACUAAGCAAUUACAUACAAUUUGAUCACUCAAAGGAUGGUGUAAACAAAACAGGAAACACAAUGUAGAGAGCAAAAACGUUAAACAAAGAAAACUUAUCGAACUAAAACUAUCAUUGGCAAUACGAUGAUGGAGAGAGCUUGCAAGGACAACUAGUAACAAAGACCUAUACGUCCAACUCUUCUUGACUCUUCAUCUAAUUAACUUUAACUUAUGACUUUCAUAAGCUCACUAAGCCACUUUCAUAGAUAAAAGCUACU